CCUACGGGAGGCAGCAGUGAGGAAUAUUGGUCAAUGGACGAGAGUCUGAACCAGCCAAGUAGCGUGCAGGAUGACUGCCCUAUGGGUUGUAAACUUCUUUUAUACGGGAAUAAAAUGUUCCACGUGUGGGAUUUUGUCUGUCCCAUAUGAAUAAGGUUCGGCUAACUCCGUGCCAGCCGCCGCGGUAAUACUGAGGUUCCGAGCGUUCUCCGGUUUUAUUGGUUUAAAGGGAGCGUAGGUGGAUUGUUAAGUCAGUUGUGAAAGUUUGCGGCUAAACCGUAAAAUUGCAGUUGAAACGGGCAGUCUUGAGUACAGUAGAGGUGGGCGGAAUUCGUGGUGUAGCGGUGAAAUGCUUAGAUAUCACGAAGAACUCCGAUUGCGAAGGCAGCUCACUGGACUGCAACUGACACUGAGGCUCGAAAGUGUGGGUAUCAAACAGGAUUAGAUACCCCAGUAGUC
RNAcentral lists this ribosomal RNA (459 nucleotides) under uncultured bacterium. RNAcentral describes it as "partial 16S ribosomal RNA". It matches the Rfam family "Bacterial small subunit ribosomal RNA", at positions 338 to 795 of the family's 1533-position model. The record is from RNAcentral.